CCUGAGAAACGGCUACCACAUCCAAGGAAGGCAGCAGGCGCGCAAAUUACCCACUCCCGGCACGGGGAGGUAGUGACGAAAAAUAACAAUACGGGACUCUAACGAGGCUCCGUAAUUGGAAUGAGUACACUCUAAACCUUUUAACGAGGAUCUAUUGGAGGGCAAGUCUAGUGCCAGCAGCCGCGGUAACUCUAGCUCCAAUAGCGUAUAUUAAAGUUGCUGCGGUUAAAAAGCUCGUAGUUGGAUCUCAGUCGAGCCUCCAAUGAUACGUUGAAAGGCGUUUAUCGUUGGGGCCGACAGCGCGUCGGUGGGCUCGGUUGGCCUUAAAAAGCUGAUCGGGUUCUCCGGCAAUUUUACUUUGAAAAAAUUAGGGUGCUCAAAGCAGGCCGGUGCCUGGAUAUUGGUGCAUGGAAUAAUGGAAUAGGACCUCGGUUCUAUUUUGUUGGUUUUCGGAUCCCGAGGUAAUGAUUGAGAGGGACAGACGGGGGCAUUCGUAUUGCGGCGCUAGAGGUGAAAUUCUUGGACCGCUGCAAGACGAACUACUGCGAAAGCAUUUGCCAAGAAUGUUUUCAUUAAUCAAGAACGAAAGUUAGAGGUUCGAAGACGAUCAGAUACCGCCCUAGUUCUAACCAUAAACGAUGCCAACCAGCGAUCCGCCUGAGUUCCUUAAACGACUCGGCGGGCAGCUUCCGGGAAACCAAAGUUUUUGGGUUCCGGGGGAAGUAUGGUUGCAAAGCUGAAACUUAAAGGAAUUGACGGAAGGGCACCACCAGGAGUGGAGCCUGCGGCUUAAUUUGACUCAACACGGGAAAACUCACCCGGCCCGGACACCGGAAGGAUUGACAGAUUGAUAGCUCUUUCUUGAUUCGGUGGGUGGUGGUGCAUGGCCGUUCUUAGUUGGUGGAGCGAUUUGUCUGGUUAAUUCCGAUAACGAACGAGACUC
Molecule: ribosomal RNA, 943 nt
Filed under: Americhernes sp. WW-2000
Lineage: Eukaryota; Metazoa; Arthropoda; Arachnida; Pseudoscorpiones; Chernetidae
Description: SSU rRNA
Rfam family: Eukaryotic small subunit ribosomal RNA
Source: RNAcentral